GUGCUCGCUUCAGCAGCACUUAUCCUAAAAUUGGAAUGAUACAGAGUAGAUUAGCAUGCCCCCUGCACAAGGAAUACACACAAAUUUGUGAAGCAUUCUGUAUUUUU
Heterocephalus glaber (naked mole-rat) is the source of this 107-nucleotide small nuclear RNA. Lineage: Eukaryota; Metazoa; Chordata; Mammalia; Rodentia; Bathyergidae. The record is from Ensembl.